CGAGAAGACCCUAUGGAGCUUCAGACACCAAAACAGACCAUGUUAAAGACCCUAAAACAAAAGGCUAAACUUAAUGCCUCCUGCCUUGAUGUCUUCGGUUGGGGCGACCAAGG
RNAcentral lists this ribosomal RNA (113 nucleotides) under Allomycterus pilatus (deepwater burrfish). RNAcentral describes it as "partial 16S ribosomal RNA". Lineage: Eukaryota; Metazoa; Chordata; Actinopteri; Tetraodontiformes; Diodontidae. The record is from RNAcentral.